UACAGAGGUGGCAAGCGUUGUUCGGAAUUACCGGGCGUAAAGGGCGCGUAGGCGGCCAUCUAAGUCAGACGUGAAAUCCCCCGGCUUAACCUGGGAACUGCGUCUGAUACUGGAAGGCUUGAGUAUGGGAGAGGGAUGUAGAAUUCCAGGUGUAGCGGUGAAAUGCGUAGAUAUCUGGAGGAAUACCGGUGGCGAAGGCGGCAUCCUGGACCAUUACUGACGCUGAGGCGCGAAAGCUAGGGGAGCAAACGGG
Molecule: ribosomal RNA, 253 nt
Filed under: uncultured bacterium
Lineage: Bacteria
Description: partial 16S ribosomal RNA
Rfam family: Bacterial small subunit ribosomal RNA
Source: RNAcentral